Molecule: long non-coding RNA, 2177 nt
Organism: Rattus norvegicus (Norway rat)
Lineage: Eukaryota; Metazoa; Chordata; Mammalia; Rodentia; Muridae
Source: RefSeq, a predicted model, not a curated record
UAAGAGGGGUUACUGAGCUCCUUCAACCCAAGCCAGGCCUACAGCCGUUCCCAGGUAAACUUCUCAGCUGUCAGCAACCUCCAGGCCCCAACUUUCCUUCAAAUGAGAAGUGGGGAGUCUCUGAGUACCUGACCCUCAGGUGCCCAGAUGUUCAUUCAGUCCUGAGACAGUAUCUGGUGGGAGACCCCUUCCCACUUCUACUUCGGAUGGGGAGCCAGAGUAAGUCCGAUGAUCCCUCCUUGGUACACUCCGUUUCCAUCGCUUAGGGAUCUCUGGCUGGCUUGUACCCCUUCCCUCCAGCCCCAGCCCCAGCUCAGUUGCUGAAUUGCUGACAGCUUAUCUCAUCAGCACAGGGAGAGCCACUUGGCCCAAACCGGGUACAAUUCCCCUUCCUCUCAGCGGGAACCUUAGAGCUUCCCUCCCGCCCCUAAACCAGCAUUGGCUUCUUCCCCCCUCUACUCUGAGCCGGCCCCUUUGCAGCAGAGCCAAGGGGGCUGGAGCCAGGCACCAUCAUGGGGGGAGGGGAGAGGUGCACGGGGGGAAGGAUGAGGCCUGGAGAGGGGCCCACCGCCCCCGCAGCCAGCAGGGAAGAGAGGCUGAGCCAUUUCCUAUAAUGUCUUACAGAGACUGCAGACUUUUCCCUGGAGACCCCACCUGGGGCAGUCAGUACUGCCUUUCAGAUCCCAGUGUGAAGGGAAGUGUAGGUGGGAAGCAGCCCCAGGGCUGGCUUAUCUUGAGCCCCUCACUCAGCUGUGCACACACCCAACACUCCUAAUUUUUAGCUCCACCACGUACACUAGGGCCCCCUCCCCCACCCCUUGUCCUCAGGCUUGCCCUUCUGGAAAGCUCAGAGACAUCUGCUGUGUCACGGAGUCAAGGCUAUUUCCAGGCCAGGGCAGGAGGGUGGGGUGUGGGGGUGGUGGUGGCGGGGGAGGUAGUACCGGGGCAUGAAGAGGUAAGGCCCAGGGAGAAGGCUGAACCGGGCAAAGGGCCCCAGACGGAUCUCAGCUGCUAAUUCCGGAGGUUUGGAAAUGGCCUUGAGGGAGACUAGGGAGAGGACAGACAUCUAGUUGAAUAGUGAACUCUCUGGGGGCAGCCUGUAGUGGUGGACAACACCUGGCACCAUACACAGUUCCCUUCCAGGGCCUUGGGGUGCAUCCUUCCAGGGGGGUCCUUCCAGUAUAUCCUAGAAGGGCUCUAAGAGUAGACCCAAGGUGCGAACUGGAAACCUUGGUCCUAGCAGGCAGGGCUGUGAGGAGUGAGGCAGCUUCUUGCCUCUCAAAACCCACCCUGGGCUUCUGGACUCCUAGGGCUAGUGUGUCGCCCCACCCCCACUCAUAACUGACACACCUUCCAAAUCUGGUUACACUCAAUGACUUCCUCUCUUCCUCAGUCUUCCCCUCCCUCUAGGGCAGCUUGACCCCUUAGCUGUAGCCAAUCCCGGGCCAGGCGUGGGUUGGAACAGGGCAUGGAAAGGCAGGAGUCCCCCUCCCAGGCGACUGAAGCUACCAGGGCAAUCAGGGGUUAAAGCUCCCAGGACGUUGCUCAGCGCCUUUUUAGGUUUCUGAGGCAGGGCUCUGUUUGCCCUAGUCCGGCCAGAUCCCCAGAUGGGGAGCACAUGCCUGCCAACCGCUUCGGUGAAGCUUCGGGCCACUAGUCCUCCUGGCCUCAGGGCCCUGAGAACCCUGAGAUAGUUGGGUUUGCUUUUGCCCAGCGGCGAAGGGGAUGGGAAGCCAUUUGCUUUCAUGUGGGUGGCGGGAUACGCCCCCAACGAAUUACACUGGCCACCAGCCCUGUCCUCGCAAGCAUGUGCAAGCAAGGGUUGCCCGAUGGAAGGAAAAAGAAGGGACAUUGAGCAGCAUACGUGGCCACACAGAGUAAAACCAAGCUGCAAAGAAGACUCUCAAAGGAGUGGGGCUUCCAGGAAGACUCAGGUGAGGCAUGCUGCAGAGAAGAUCUGAGAGCGGCCAAGCUGCCUAAAAGACGUUUGGACCAAUUGAGCCACCUGUGAAAGACACUCUCCAGCCCACUGUGCUGCCUGCAGGCUGUGCAGUAUGCUCCAGGUUGCCAACGUUGUAAGCUCUCAUGCAUGCUGGGGUGGGCUUUGAUGAUGCAGCUCUCUUUUAGUCAUUUCUGCUCCUGUACAUAGCCCCAAUUAAAGCCAUUGGUUCACCAAA